CCUACGGGAGGCAGCAGUGGGGAAUAUUGCGCAAUGGGCGAAAGCCUGACGCAGCGACGCCGCGUGAGGGAUGAAGGUCUUCGGAUCGUAAACCUCUGUCAGCAGGGCAGAACGGUCACUGUGCUAAUCAGCAGUGAAUUGACGGUACCUGCAAAGUAAGCACCGGCUAACUCCGUGCCAGCAGCCGCGGUACUAAGGAGGGUGCGAUCGUUAAUCGGAAUUACGGGGCGUAAAGCGCUCGUAGGCGGUAUGUCAAGUCAAGGGUGAAAUCCCCGCGCUCACCGUGGGAACUGCCUUUGAAGCUGGCAAACUGGAGUGUGUGAGAGGAUAGGGGAAUUCCAGGGGUAGGAGUGAAAUCCGUAGAUAUCUGGAGGAACAUCAGUGGCGAAGGCGACUAUCUGGCACAUAACUGACGCUGAGGAGCGAAAGCGUGGGUAGCAAACAGGAUUAGAUACCCCUGUAGUC
RNAcentral lists this ribosomal RNA (465 nucleotides) under uncultured bacterium. RNAcentral's name for it is "partial 16S ribosomal RNA". It matches the Rfam family "Bacterial small subunit ribosomal RNA", at positions 338 to 795 of the family's 1533-position model. The record is from RNAcentral.